UCUUUGACUGUCUCCUUUUUCUGCUCCCAGUCCUUGUGUUACAGUACAGCUCCCCCAUCAAACAUGGCUGGGCCGGGCUGGAGUGUCUUCAAUCCAAAUUCCCAGGAAUUCCAUGCGGUCCCCUGAGAACUCUGGCAGGAGUUGUUAAGAGGGAAGCAGAACACACAUCACAGCCUCACAUCAGGUUGGGCCACCCAUCAAGGUGAGCUAGGGCAGUCCCAGGCAGCUGUCGUCCGGACGCCACACACCCUGCCUGAGCCUUGCUUCACUCCUUGUUCAGGCCUGAGACCGCUGCCCUGAGA
This 302-nucleotide long non-coding RNA is filed under the name Chinchilla lanigera (long-tailed chinchilla). RNAcentral describes it as "lncRNA (ENSCLAG00000028543.1)". The record is from RNAcentral. Lineage: Eukaryota; Metazoa; Chordata; Mammalia; Rodentia; Chinchillidae.